UGGCUCAGUGGUAGAGUGCUUGCCUUGCAUGCAUGAGGCCCUGGGUUUGAUUCCCCAG
Dipodomys ordii (Ord's kangaroo rat) is the source of this 58-nucleotide non-coding RNA. The record is from Rfam. NCBI's taxonomy places the organism in Eukaryota, Metazoa, Chordata, Mammalia, Rodentia, Heteromyidae.